This 467-nucleotide ribosomal RNA is filed under the name uncultured bacterium. RNAcentral describes it as "partial 16S ribosomal RNA". It matches the Rfam family "Bacterial small subunit ribosomal RNA", at positions 29 to 507 of the family's 1533-position model. The record is from RNAcentral.
ACGCACGCUGGCGGCGUGCUUAACUCAUGCCAGUCGAACGGAAAGGCCCUGCUUUUGUGGGGUGCUCGAGUGGCGAACGGGUGAGUAACACGUGAGUAACCUGCCCUUGACUUUGGGAUAACUUCAGGAAACUGGGGCUAAUACCGGAUAGGAGCUCCUGCUGCAUGGUGGGGGUUGGAAAGUUUCGGCGGUUGGGGAUGGACUCGCGGCUUAUCAGCUUGUUGGUGGGGUAGUGGCUUACCAAGGCUUUGACGGGUAGCCGGCCUGAGAGGGUGAACGGGGACAUGGGGACUGAGAGACGGAGCAGACUCGUACGGGAGGCAGCAGUGGGGAAUAUGGCACAAUGGGGGGAAGCGUGAUGCAGAAACGCCGCGAGCGGGAUGACGGGCUACGGGUGGAAAACCGCUUUCGACUGUGACGAAGCGGGAGUGACGGUAAUGGGUAAAGAAGCACCGGCUAACUACGUG